AUAGACAUAUUGAACGUAUGACUUUGAGAUUGAUAGCAAUAUUGAGUUGAAGGUUGUUUAAAGGGCUCAACACUAAGGCAUUCUUGGCGGUACAAAUGGUGGCACUUAAUUUGUCAACUAUUUUAAGCACUACAAGUGUCAAAAAUUUACGAUGAUGUAUUGCUCUUUUUUCUUCUUUUUCUUCAAUUUAACUGGAUGUAAACUUAACAUCCACCUAGGCAGGACCACCUAGGUACAUGGCUUAAUAUUUUGCAUCUUGUUUGACUACGUGGAAUGAGAUUGAUUUAUAAAUUAUUCAUGAAUGUUGCCAAGUUGAUAUUUCACAUUGACUUACUACAUCUUAUUUGAUAAGUUCUCAUUUAUUAGAUUAUAACUAUCCUUCUAAGUUUCUUCUUUUAUUUAUGGUUUAUUUUUAAUUUAUCAUUUGCCAAGUGCCUACUCACUAGGCAGCCCCCUGGCUGCCCAUCUGCAGCAUACAGUCUUGUAAAACAACUAGACCUGAUCAUCGUAACAUGUUCCAUGCUAAGACUGCUCCUAGCCUUUGAAUUGACAUAAUAAAAUUAUGGAUUUCAAUAGAGAGCAUGUGUAUACACAUCAUUCAGACAUCAAACUCAGGGCAUAAUAUUGACUUUGAUCUGGCUUAACCUAUCCCAGCUCAGCUGGGUAAGCAAUCCUACCUGGACUCCUUUUCGAGCCCACCUGAGUUGACAUGAUAAAAUCCUGGAUUUCAAUAGAGAGCAUGUGCACAUACAUACCGACCACAUCAAAUUCAGGGCAUGAUAUUGACCUUGAACUGGCCUAGUCCCAGCUCAAAGGGGGUGAAAGAAUAACCCAACCUGGACUCUUUUGAGUUGGCUGGUGGACCUGAUGUGCCAACCUGACACAUUUCUAUUCAAAAUUGAAUCAUCUGCUACUGUAUAUCCAUGGGGCUUCUGCAAUACUUUGUCAUUCAGAUUUGAGUAGGACAUGUUAAAAGGUUAAAUUUUGUUACAUUGGGGAUGGAAUUCCUAGUGCUAUUAGGAUUUUGUAGAGAGGUGAUUGAUAUGCCUCUGUGUACAGGGCUAUGUGAAAAUUCAAGUUUCGCAGUAGCCGGAAAUAGAUUUGCUGGGAGAAGUCUCAGUUUAUAUUUUUCUCCCUCCUUUCAUUCACCCUUCUCUAAUGUCUUUGUUUUAUCUCCUUACAUGCUGCACCAAAAUAGUGUACAAAGUUUCUAAUUGCUCUCUUUUUGUCUUCUGCUCGGACAUUUGGGGCCAUAAAUCUGUCCACUUUUUCCCGUGCUGGAGAAAUUUUAAUCAUGUAUACGUUUAACUGCUAACAAGCUCUCGAGCGUGCUAGACCAGAAACAAGUUAAAACUGAAUUUUAUCAUAUUGUACAGAAUGUUAUGAGCUUCCAUAUGACAAUGGUCCAUGAAAAGGACCUGCCUGCUAUGAAGCAAUGAAGAAAGCAGAGAACUCACGUCCUGGAUGAAAGACCUCAAGAUGCGCAAACGGCAAGGACUUUAGGGUUGGGACAGGCCGCCUGGGCUGAUCGAUUGUUAGAUUGGACAAUAAUCUGAUAAUACAAAACCAUGUGAAAUUAAUCCGACGGUGGAUAACUAGGGUAAAAAGGGUACAUAGCUGGGAAAAUAUUACUCAUUUUUCCUCCUUUUUUCUGUGUGUGUUCCUGUAUCUUUGGAAAAUUGUAUUUAUAUAAUUGGGAAAUUUGUUAAAAGUUCUUGCGGUAGUUCUUCACUCUCUCUUUUUUAUUUGGCCAGGGGACCAGCAACUGUUACUUUGGUUGGUGCCUUCCUUGUUCUCCAAGUGAGAUGUUUCAGGUUCAAAUAUGUGAUAGUGGUGAAUAACUACAGUAUUCUCAAAAAGAAUUCCAUCAAGACCGCAGGAUCAAGAUACCUAGUAGCCUUACCUGUCAAUGAUGGGAGUUAACUGCUUCAGUAGUUUUUGACGACGAUCCUAGGUGUCUUCAGGAGAAAUUUCUUUCAUUCUUAAUUUCUUAACACUAUGAUAAAUAUACAAAAGAUAGCCUUUGGUAAGCCUAGCGUUGACUCUCUGCUGAGAGAGAGAGAGAGAGAGAGAGAGAGAGAGAGAGAGAGAGAGACNNNNNNNNNNNNNNNNNNNNAGAGAGAGAGAGAGAGAGAGAGAGAGAGAGAGAGAGAGCACCAAAGGCCUCAAUGUUUAUGGUAAAUGAGGCGAUUCUCGUGUUUCCAGGGUGACAUUAUCUGAUGCCUCUCAGUGAACAGUGGAAGUAGAAAUAAUAAACGUACUUAGUUCGCAUAGUAUUAGAGCCAGUUAUCUCCUAAAGUUAGGACUAAUGGUUGGUCCACAUUAGUAGCAACCCGUAGCCUUCUCCAUUUCACGCCAAAUUCUCCUUUCAUGUGCAACUAUUAUUAUUUUUGGCCUCUACAAUCUAACAACAUAUUUUUGAAAAUAUUUAAAAUAUUUUCUUCUCAAAAAAAAUAAAAAUAAACUUAAUAUUUCCGCUCGUGCAGACCUAGGUUUGUUGUUUAGCAAUAAAAUGAAUCCAAAUCCGCAUCAAACAAAGCAACAAAUUAAUAACUUGUUAAGUUUGCAGAAAAAAUCUUUUCUUACCAUAAUAUUUCUUUUAAAAAAAAACUGAUUUCUGAUAAUAUAAUGUUUGAGAAAAUAGUUUGACCCAAUUCUAGCAAACUUUUGAUUUUAAGAGAAGAACUAGUAAAUGCAUUAAGAUGAGAAUGCUUGAUUACAUUAUGUAUUAUAUUUGAUUGCGCCUAAUUGUUUUUUUAUCAUCCUUAAUUAGCAGCACGUGUUGCCUGAAUUUCGAGAAUCUAAUAUACAAUUUUUCACGUAAAUUACAAUAGAUGUUGUCUGUCGGGGCCAGGGGCGGCCCAAGCCUUAGGCGACCUAGGCGGUCGCCCAAGGCCCCGGCUCGAAGGAAGGCCCCCGCCAGACCGGCAGACCGCGACUCCUAGGCCUAGCCUCCCAGCUCCCACACCCACAAUCCCACUCCUAGCUACAGCCUACAGUGUACGUAGAGCCUCUACAAGACGCUUGAGGCAGGGCCGCAGGAGCCAACGGCUACCUCGAUAAGACGCCUGAGCUACUGAGGGUGUCUCGCCGCGACGCCAUCCCGUGACCGGUGACUCCCGUCCCAAUCCUAUCAGCCAUCGCCCAUCAUCCUUUUCUUUAAAAUCCUCAUCAUCCUUCUCCACUCCUCCUCAAUCCUUUUCUGCAGCUGAGCUCCUCUUCUACUGCUCUACAUGCUGCAAGUCUGCAACAUCGGCCCAAGCCUUUAAAGUUUAAAAUCCUCUUCGCCGGCGAGGUCGUCUCCUUAGUCCUCCGCCUCCCCGCGCUGCCUCCCCGGCAUCCCCCGAGGCUGCGACCUCCUCGCCUCCCUCCCGGCUGCCUGCAAGUUUGCAAGUCUUCUCCGCGCCAGCGAGCUGGCGAGGUCGGCUCCUCUGCCUCCCCGGCAUCCCGCGACCUCCUCGGCUCCUCACCUCCCUCUCGGCUCCCGUUCGGCCGUCCCCUGAGUCCCUGACUCACGUCUGUGAAACUGCGACGGUGCAACCGCAUCUUCUUCACGUCAGAUCGUCAACCCGCUGCACUUGAGUUGUAACUUGUAAGUCUCUCUCUGACUUAAAGAUGUUUGAUGAAAUGCCUAAACCAGUUAACCAUAUGUUAUUUCUUUCUGUUUUUUAGGCAAAGGAUGGGAAAGUAUAUUGGAUUCAUUGCAUUUUUGAUUUAUAUAAGAAUAUGAGAUGAAGAAUGAUAUAAAAGGAAAGAAAAACAAAGUUAAAAUCAAAGCUGGUUGAUGUCUGAGCAUGAUGGUUUAAUUUCUUGGUUUGCUUGGAGAACUUCAAAGCUGCUUUUGGUUGCACAACAUUUUGAGGUUCAGGAUGGUAGAUGUCAACCCAAGCACAAUCAAGAUCAUGAGGUUGGGCUCCACAUAAUUAACAGUUUACCUUGCAUCAUAAUGUGGUAAAUGGUAAUAUAGGUAUACCAUAUAGAUCAGUUCACAUGGGGGUCUGGAAACCAGUAGUCACGUGAAUCACACGGUGUUGUCGCAUGUGGCCUGUGGGAUCAUGGUUUAUUCAUGCAAGAUUCUUUCUUGGGAUUAGGCUAUUCAUUAACAACACAAGACUCAAAUAUAAUGUGCAGGCUCUCAGUAUCUCUUCUUUACUUUGACAACAUCAUCGUCAUAUACAUAUCCAACCUAUCUAAAGAAAAAAAAAAUCUUAACCGUUUUUAUGAACAACUUAGGUAGGAUAUGCACCUCAAAAUUAUUGAAAGUUUAAUUAGCAAUUUUGCAUCUCAAAAAGCUGGACGGUUUAUUUUUAAAUAAAUUUUUAAAGUAUUUUACACUUAUUAAAAAUUUAUUAUUAUUAUUAUUAUUUUUAAAAAAAUCUCUCUUAAUAAGCUUGCCUUAGGCCUCCAAAUGUAUUGGGCCGUCCUGGUCGAGACCAAUGUACAUGUAAUCCUACUAUCUCGAUAGCGUGACAUCUAACUCACGAUAAGUUUUCUUUGAAAAUGUUAUUAGUUGAAUCAUCGAAAGGCUGUAUAAUACCUGUAACUUUCAUUGAGAAAAUUCCUUUAAAAAUAUAAAAAAAGAGCUUUCAUUGAGAAAAGCCAAUCUUGAUGUGAUCUUGUACCGUGAACGGGUGUCCAUGUGAGGAUCCAUUGGUCAUUUGAAACAUGUUCGAUGAUUUUGUUGUAAUUUUAUUUUCCGGCGAAACCCUAAAGUCGAAACCAGGUAUAUAAAACUCGUCGUGGAGCCCGGCUCCUUCUUUAUCGCCUGUGUUUCAGCCGUAAGCUCCAUUUCCUUCGUUUCCUGUCAAGUUCUUUGUGAUCGGAGAUUCUUUUUAUUUCUUUUCGUGCUGGAUUUGCCUAUGUUCUGGAGUCUUGAGCAUUUUCCAACUUUUUCUUCUUUUUUUUUUCCCUUUCCCAAUCCUUGAGCUUGAUGAAAGAGAGUUGGAAUUAUGGACUUCAUAUACGAAACACAAUACCCUAAACCGAAGGUACUUUUUUUUUGUGGGAUAUUUUUUCAACUUUUUCAAUUAAAUUUAUCGUGUGAUCUUGAUUUUGAGGGUUUCAAUUCGAAAUUGCUUAAAGAAUGAUUUUUUUUCUGCGGAGAGGGAACCUCAAUGUGAUUUUUUUUAAUGCAAAUGUAUGUUGAGAGGGGAAAGAGUGUGAGGCAUCUGAUAAUCCUCAUAGCGAAAGCAGAUGUAAUCACUAAAUAUUGGAUGUCUUUCCCAUAUCAAAACAGAAUCUUAAUGCUUGCCUGCCUGCUUCCAUUGUGGCUCGCAAGUUUGGCUUUUCUGUUACAUGCCAUGCUAAUUUUCUUUUUAGGUAGCCAUUUUCCUAGUUUUCUAGUUUACUUGAUCUUUAUCAUCUCAUCACUAAAGUCUUUUGAAGCCAUGAGCGACAAAAGGAGGUUAAAAAAAACUAUUUUAUUAAAUUACUCUUUGCACUCUACAAAGGGAAGUUCCAAUACUCUUUAUGUUUUUUUUUUUUUUGAAGGAAAAGAGUAUUCCAAAUUUAUUAAAGAUAGAAUAUCAUUUAUUUUUUGUAAAGGCUCUAAAUAAAUUCGUUCUUCAGAUUUUCUUCAAAAUUUUUCUAUCGAGCACUUCAUGCCGGGCUAACGGAGCUAAGUCUCGGCUAAUUCUGAAAACACAAGUGUUCUAAUCCGAACAACUGGGGAACUCGCAAUGAAAAAAUUGGCAGUCGCUGCGAUCGCCAGAUGUUUACAAGGAUUCAAAAGGUUUAUGACACGCUUCCUGAGGAUUUUGCUUUUCCUCUGUUUUACUUACUGUACAUAAAAUCCAUCUGAUGGAUAAAGCUUAUCAGUCCACCGGCAGUUUCUUUCGCCAAGGUUAGGUGUAAUAAUCAAGUGUUUUAAAUAGCAAUCUCAAGUAUCUUGAACUUAACAAGAGAAACAUUGUCGAUUCUUCUAUCAUUUCUUCCAUUCAAUCGAUUUAGAGUCUCAAGUUGCAGAGGCUUCUUCCACGAAACCAUGCUCAUCUCAUGGAAUAAGCAUGGAUAAUCUCAGCCCACUUCAAUUGUUGAGAGGAAUUCUUUCCAAUAUUCAUGAUGCUCAUCUACACUUCCUGCUUGGCAUUGCAGAAUCAUUUCAGCCUGUGAGGCAACCGUGGGACAGAUUUAAUCCAGGAACACGACGGUCGGUGGAGUAAUAUGCUCUCCUAAAAGGUGGAAAGAACAGCUAAGAACAAGAAAUUUUUUCGUAUUAAAUAUUCCUAGUUCGGUUGGAGUUUUUUUUUAUCCUAGAACUGAAAAGAUGGAGAAAAAGGAAUUGCACUCUCCAAAACAAAGCCUACAAUGGACUUGGGGAAUAAUUAGAAUUGAUUUCGAGAAAGACUGUAAUAAAAAGUGUUCAAGAGAAAAUUAUCAUCCUUUUAAUUUAAAUGUAUAUCAUAUGUUUCUUAAUCUACAAUCUAUAUGAGGAAGUCCGCUUCAUCCUCCAAGCACCUAACAUUGUUGGUGCUGGUUUUGUUCCUCGGAGCCGGAGGAAGGGCAGGGUGCUUUUGGACAGGACACUAAAUGAACCCAACAAAUCAUCAUAUUCUGCUUAGAAUUGCGAUGGCUUUGCUGCUGUUUAAGGCUCUCAAGGAUCACACACAGCUACAGAAAAAUGGCUUUUGACGAUUUCCGAAGGUGAUUUAUUUCCUCCACUUGUUAACCCUGCAUCCUGAUGAUUCCCUGUGCUUAUUGCAAGGAGGCCUUGCGAGUGUCCGAGUCAUUCUGGGUGCAAUCUCACCAUCAAAUCAUCACUUUAUGCUUAAGCUGAAGUCCUCAGGUUAAGCUGAUCAUCAUCAGGAUAGAGCUCAAGGUUGGCUGACAUGGGACGCCCAAAAUGAUGAACCUGAAUGGACUGACUAGUAAAUCCCAUCGUAUUUGUUACAUCUUUUCAGAAAUCAACAGUCAUGAUAUUCCCGAGCACAAAAAGGCUGAUAUAAUAUUUAAUUUAUCACGAUGCGUGGAUUAACGUACAGGAAGAACCAGAAAUAAGAUAUUUCAUCCCUGAGAUCUUUCCAAUAAAUUAAAGCUUAAACAGUACACUGAAACAAAAUUCCAUAUGAUACGACUACAACCAGAGAACAGAUUUUUUUUUUUUUGCGAGCUGAUAAUAAAGUCAUUGAGAUCAAGAGAACUUAAUGCUCAGCCUUUACUUUGACAUCCCCAUUAGGUAAAGUACUCUGUGACUGAGCCAGCCGUUUUGAUUCCUGCAUGAUAACAGGAAAAUGUUUAAAUAGACAAGCUGCAACAUGAUGCAAAUGAAGCAUGAAUAACACAAGACUCAACACGGCAAGUAGAAGGUGGCAACGGUGUCAUCAUACUGUAUUUAAUUGAGACAAUAUAUUCAAAUGAUCACAUACCUUUUGUUGGUACUCUCCAAACAUAAAGGCGAACAAUUUUAUUAGGAUGCCAUUGAACAAAUUUGUAUUCCAUUUUACAAUGUUAAGGUGAUGCAAGUAAUGGUCAUGCAAGCUCAGAACUUAUUUCCUUAGACAGCACAGUUGCGACAAAUAUGCUGAAUGAGAAGCAGAAAAAACAGGCUUCCUAUUUCGCCAAAGGCUUGACAGUACAGGCAAAAUUGCAGACAGACCUCUUACAGGCCAAUGAAAAAGAUAGGAACUCUUUUUGGCUUUUAUGUUAAUGUUUACCACAAAACAAAAACUAAAGGAGCACAACUUGGUACUCUGCUAAAAAAUGUGGCCCUGUUCAUAAAAAAGAGUAAUGUAUUUGUGGUUGACUGAAGUGAAGUACCCAAAUUGUAUAAAAUACUUGGCACAUAUAACUAGUCAGCAGCGAAACCGCUCCCAAGGUAUAGUUACCCAACCUAACAUUGUCCGACAUGAAGGAGGCUGAAAAUUUAACUUACUGCAGCAGAAGAUGUGCGUAUCUCCCUAUAAUUUUCCACUUCAUCAGGAAAGGCUUGUUCGAGCUCCUCCAAAAGGUACUUCCGCAAGCUCUAUACAAGCAGACGAAAGAAGAUAACCAUGGUCUGAACAUGUUAUAGGAUGGCAAGCAAAAUUGUGAAACAGCAUAACUAAAAAUUUAUAUUAUAUAUAACUAAAAAUUUAUAUAAUAAUAAUAAUAAGCAUAAUGAAUUUGUUAUGAGAUAUAAAUCUGCUCCACAUGGAUGGGACCUAUAUGGCCCAAAUAAUCUAAUCACCAACAAUUACAUCAAUUCACAUAAUUACAAGACCAAAUGGCACUUCAUAAUUUAAGUUGGACUUUGAAAGAUGAGAACUACAUCGGUGAUGAGGUUGAAGUUAUGAAGGGCAAGAAAGUCAAAGUUGAUUGUUGAAUAUUAUGUCCAAGUUGACUGUUGAACGACAGAAUUCACUAAAGUAUCAUCUUAAAGAUAACAAAUGCUGCAUGCAGCUGAAAGAUCUUUAGAUUGGUACAAACAAGCUGGCACUGAUCGAGUCCCAACUCUAUUAGAGCCCAACUUUUCUUUGUCAGAACCAUCCCAAAAGCUUUGGGAUCUAGUGAUCACCUUGGGUUGCACAAAAAGCCAAGUACUGGUUGACAAUAAUGAAAUGAAUUCAUGACACCUUAGACUAGGUGAGUAGUGUCCUAGCACCACGAGCAAGCAGCACUGGUUUAGAACAGCAAGUUUGAGAAAGUGUACUAGAAGGCUCCUUAAGCUUACUCCAUAUUAAAUUAUCGAUUUUCAUUCUAGGAAUCUGCAUAAAAAAUUUAUAGAAAUGUGGAUCCUUAAGGACAUAAGGGACUUUUGCUAAUUGCAAGAUUUCUUAAAAUAGACAACCACAGAAUCUCAUCUUUCGUAAAACACAUUUCAUGACUAUUUUUCCUAAAACUCAUAUUUUCAAGUUUUAUGACCUGCGGGCCUUAAUUCAAUGGUAAGCUUGCUCCAUGGUACCAAGAUGUCACAGGUUUGAAAACAUAAAAACAAACUCUCUGCAUGCAAGGAUAAGACUGCCCACAUCUAGUUUUCUCUAGACCUUGCAGUGGUGGGAACCUCAUGCACUGGAACACCCUUUUAGAUAACUUAUGUUAUACGCUACAUGUGAUUCUCAGAUGUGGUUCAAAUGUUGCAGCAUCUUUAUUUGCAUAUAUGUCAUUUUUACUGAAGUUUUGUAGCAAUCCAGUAAGCCAUUACCAUUGAUGUUGGCAUGGCUUGCAAAAAUAGGGGAUAUUGCCUUUGAUAGAUAUAAAAUGCGAAAAAGGAUUUAUUCACCAAGGAAGGUUCAUAUUUGUUCAGUCAAUCCAUAAAGUACCACCAUUAAACUAAAUAAGAAAGAAAAUAGCAAAGAUCAUCAAUGAUUUCAAACAAUAUAGAGCCAAUUCAAACGACCCCAGAGGCAAUGCUGUAUUAGAAAUUCAUUGUCAGGAAUGCCUUCUAGUUACUCGUACAAACUAUACAACAAGAUCUUCCAACAAACACUUAAAAAACUGUUAUGCCCUAGUUUUUCCAAAUGGGGAAUACCUUAAAAGCAUCCGUUUUUCCUUUGGUGAUCUGGUUCUUGGCAAUACAACUAUUCAGGACAUCCCUGGUAAACUCGUCCGGGUUCUUCCCAUCAUCAAUCAAGCUGAAAUCCAACAAACUUAUCAGCAACAAGAACGAAUUUUCAAGAACGGGAGCCAAUCCAAAGGGCAAGAUUAAGAGCCUCACUUCACCACCUCCGCUGGGACCUGGAUGUCGCAGUUCUCCGCCAGCUUCUGCAUCGUGUCGAGUUCAGCAACAAGCGCGUUUCUUUGUUCACAACCAAAGAGAACAAAAAACCCUAGAAUUAGAGAGAUGGGGAGGAUGGCCGAGAAGAGAGUGGAGAAUAGGACGAUGGAAGGGGUGGGGGGAUUACAGGCGCUGGAGAAGGGGGAGUUGGGAGGCGACGCUGAAGGAGGAGACGGUGAGGUAGAGCUGGUGGAGGAGGCCGAGGGUCUUGUCGAUGGAGUUGAUGACCUGUUUGAGAUUCUUGGAGCGGUCGUCCGCCGGGCCGGCGGCGGAGGCCCCGUCGCCGCCACUGACGUGGGCAUUGGCAGUGGGGGCUAGGGCGUUGGCGGCCGUCGCGGCGGCUCCUGCGGCGGCGGAGAGGCCACCGUUGCCAGCGGUGGAGGAGGGGUUCGGCGAGGGAUCCAUUCCGGUUAGCGUAUCGCGAGUCUGCGCGAAAAUAUUAUGCAUCAUCGAAUCCGGUAAUUCCUAAAUGGAUUGGGUACGGAGCAGUCAUAGUCCGACCCGGACUAACAUUUAUCGGAUCGGGUCGUUAUUGGAUUCUUCAGCAAGAUCACUAAGUUGGAACCAAUUAAAAUUAGCUCCGGCUCAAUAUUUGAUUUAUUAAAGACAUAUUAAACUUCUACCUACCUAAAAAAGGCAUAUUAAGCUUUGCCUCCUUUUGAUUUUAACAAUAUUUUAGUUUUGCAUAAAAUUAUAAUUUUUUUCUUGGAAUUUCCUAAAAACAUCCAAAAUAAAUUACUGCAAUUUAGUUAUAAUCAAGCAGCAUCAAUUUAAUUUGCAAUCAUUUAUAAUACCAAUGAGUUUGCUUAGAAAAAUAGUAUAGAUUUGCAUGAAAGUAGGCUCCUAUAAUAUUGGCCAACGAUAUCUAAUAUAUCGGUAGGGUAGGUAAAAGCCAACAUUCUUUUUAUCCUGCUUUUGCUAUCUUAGGUGAAUGUUUUAAUUGUACAGUAUGGAGAUUGAUGGCUUAAAUGGAGGUUCAAUGGUAGUUGGCAUUAAUUUUAUUGUACUUGCCUUAAUUAAAUAUCUUAGUUGUUAUUAGUUUUAUUUAGAUCCUCUCAAAAUUUGCACAUAUCAAGGUUUCGGUAACGCUGGUAUCUCCAUACAGCAAACCACCUCCAUUAUCAGGAAUUAUCAUUACAAUAAAAAACUGUUUUGUUAUUUUCCAAAUCAAUCUUUUAUUGGAUUUAUUUGGGAAUGAAGUAACAUUUAUUAUAGGUAAGUACUUGCCUCUAAAGUUGGAGAACAUGGAAACAGCUCGAGAACAUGGAAACAAGAAUAGGUAAGUGAGAGUAUUGGGAUAAAGGUGGGAUUUGCUAGAUUUAAUUAAACUAAGGCUUGUCCCAAGGACCAUACUCUUCUGCUUUAGCAACCGGAGUUUCUGAGUCGAAUUUUGAAUGGUCUCCCUUCUUUCUCUCAAAAAUACUAGGGAUGGAAAGGCAAUGAAAGUAGCCCUCUAGAAACAACAUAAAUUGGGAUGGAAUUGAGAAAAGAUGAAUUAUGAAUGUGAGCUAUGACAGAUAUCUUAGAAAAAAAUUUAGCAACAACAGCAAAUAGCACAUGCCCCAGAGAAACUGUUACCAAAACUAGCUAGUACAGUAUUUUUAUUAAGAAAAUACGAAACCAGCACAGUUGUAUGUAUGAAGAGCCUCUUUGGUCACCCCAACACCUCUCAUGUGGUAUAGGAUCUACCAUGUUGUGGGAUGGGAUGGUCAUCCAGGCGAGGCAUGUGUUUAGGAAGACAAAUGGGACUGCUGAUUGGGUGGCUUUUUUUAUCGCCAACCAUUCAGAUGAUCACCUAUAGGUGGGAGAGGUACAGUUGCCUAGUGCUCUCCGUAAUGUACCGUUUUUUGUUUUUUUUAGCUGUAUCCGUACACGUUAUGCAUGAUACUUUCAUUUUAGCAAAAAAUAAAAAAAAAUAAAGAUGGAAGGUGUUGAAAGAGGAAUUGAAGCAGGCAGUCGAUCACCUGGACCCAAGAUUCCCAAAUAGAUGACCUCCAACAUCCCCAAACCUUUGGUUGCAAAGUUCCUGUUGGAUUUAUGGGCAUUCGCAUAUGAUUUCUAGCUCAAUUUAUUGGUUUAAAGUAGUUACUACUUACCGCUUAAGACGCUACCAGUUGUUAUAACAGUUUCAGAAGCACAGCCUUCGACCCUGAAUGCGAUUACAUGGUGAAAACCAUGCUUCAUGAUUGUCCAUGAAAGAUGCUCAUUGUUAUCUUAUUCUAAAUUGAUUUAUAACAUAAUAUGCAGACAAAUCGUUUUCAGAUGGAUGUAUCAGAUUAUCAGUUCAGAUAUGAUUAUAUUCAACACCAACCAAGUAACUCAUUGGAAUCCAGUUUCAGUCAGGUGAUAACUUGCCUCCAUUGCACUCAGUUGAAUUACAUGUUUACGAUUUUGAUGAAUCUUUGUUCUUCAAUCAAAAGAGGGAACAGUAAGAGAAAAAACUAGCAUAUCCUUGUCCAUAGAACAAGACUGAAUAUUAAUUCCUUAUUUAGUCAAACAUACAAGGAAUACAAACUAGAAGAUUGCAGCUUGUGCCAUUCCAUAUUCCAUAAAUUUACACUAGUAAUUUCUCACAAUAUCCAAGACCCUCCCUCCCAUGAGAUUCAAAAGAGAAGAUAAAUAAAAGGAUAACAUGCCCAGGAGCACUUAGAAAACCGAAACAAUCAGAACACUCUAGGCUUGGCGACUAUGGUAGAGUGCUUCAAAAUGUGCAGGCUAAACUGCCCACCUUUCUCAGCAGUAUCGAGUUGCUUUUGUCCUGGAGGUGGCAACAGCUCGAAGUUCUGGACCAAGCGGCCAAUGGUGAUCCCCAGAAUCGGCAAUGCGAGGAUAAUUCCUGGGCAGCUCCUUCGGCCAACCCCAAAUGGCAAGUAGCGGAAGUCAUUGCCAUUGGCCUCCACCUUGGCCUCCUCCUGCAAGAAUCUCUCAGGCCGGAACUCCUCAGGUUUCUUCCAGUGGUCAGGGUUGUUUGCAAGCAACCAGGCGUUCACAAGGAUCUUGCUCUCAGCAGGGAUAUCAUAGCCACCAAGCUUGGCAUCAUGGAGAUUCAUGUGGGGGACCAGUAGGGGGAUCGCCAUGCGAAGGCGGAGUGUCUCCUUGAUGACAGCUUGAAGGUAGGGGAGCUUGUGGGUGUCGGGCUCGGUAACCUGGACACCAGGACCAAGCACGGUGUCAAGCUCCUUGCAGAGCUUCUGUUGGAUCUCCGGAUGGUUCACAAGUUCUGCAAUGGCCCACUCAAUUGACCACAAUGUCGUCUCAAUCGCUGCACCAGCAAUGCAAAAGAAGCAUCAGUAUUGAGCAAGAAUGGCAUAACCCAUUCAGUCCUGGAUUCAAGUCAAGGAACUCAUUGAUGCCAUGUGACAUCGUUGGUGGUGUGGUAUAUUUUUAGAUGAUAACCCAAAGACAAUCUCAUAAUGAAGGAGCAUUGGAGCAAAUACAAAUGUACAUUUACUAAAAAGAUAUCAGCAGUGAACUUUGAUUUCGUCGUGUGAUAUUUCCACAAGGUAGGAAAAUAGAGUGGGUAUGUAAAAGGUGAUAAAAUUUAUACCAAGCAUUUUCAAAUUGUGGUGCCAACCAACUGGCACAAUCCCUUCCAUUACUUCCUCUCCCCACCUUUACUCCACUUGGACCCUACCACCAUGUCAAGGAUGUCCCACAGAAAGGGCAACCAGACAUCCAAACAACCUCUAAGCCACAAAUGGUCCCAAGGCAAAUGAAUCCCAACUGAGAUAAGUCAGCUCAUAUUAUCAAACAACAUAUGCAUGCACUGUUUAGCCUCUGAAGACAAAGGAAGGCAUAAAACAAUCCUCUUGAGAGAGAAAAAAAAAAGAAUCUAUUGGAUCUACCUUACCAAAUGUUCCAACUAUGAAACCAUGAUGUGGUCCUCCAAGACAACCUAAGUCAUCUAUCUACACCUCAAACUUUUCUUUUUUCUUCUUGUUUUUUCUUUACCUCCCAUUCUGAUAUUCAUUCAAGAAUUUAGGUAAGUUGGCUAUUUCUGCUAAUUUUCUAACUAAUAUCCUUAUCUCUAAACUCGUUUGGUUCAUGGAAAAAAUUUUACCUUACUGGAAUGUUUUUCCUAGGAAACGGAUGCCUAAGUAUAUGAUGCUUGGAAAGUUGUUUUUGCAUAUUUUGUUGAUUAAAGAAAAGUGAUAUAGGAAACAUAUUUUCCAAAGUAACUUAUGUUUAGUUGAGCAUCUACUUUUCUGAAAAAGUUAUGUAAAAUAUCUAUUAUGCCUUUAAUAAAAGAACUACAAGAAAAAAAAUAUCACAUGCAUAAUUUUUAUAAUCAAAUACUUGGAAUACCAAGGUUUGGAGGUUUUAAAAGUUUCACACCAAAAAGAUCAGAUUAUAUUUUUAAGAACUAUUUUUAAAUAUUAAAAUUACCAUAAUUCAUAUUAUAUUUGGAUACUUGUCUAACUAUUAAAAUUACCACAAUUCAUAAUAUAUUUUUAAUAGUAUAUUUAAAUAUUCUUAAAUAUAAAAUAUUUAAAAUUAUUUUUAAAUAUUUAAAAAUAGCUACUAAAAAUAUUUAUUGGGUUGAGUUUUUAGUUAAUUGCUAGACAACUUCUUUAUAUUAUGAUAAUUUUAAAUAGUUAUCAAUAUAUUUUUAUAUUAAAAUUAUCACAACUUCUUUAUAUUGUGGUAAAUUUUAAUAGUAUAUUUUUAAUAGUUUAAUGUUAACUAUUAAAAAUUACUGUUAGGAAGAUCAUGAUGGCUUAAGGAUAUUUUUUUUAAAAAAAAAUACCGCAAUUCCUAUCCCGUGGGAAAGUGGUUUUUUAUGUCCCGCAUGGGUUUUUCUUUUCGAUGAAAUGUAGAAAACUUAUUUCGAUGGGAAUGCUAUUUUUCCACCUCUCUCCUUUGUAAACUCCAACCAAACAUAAAGUGUUUUUUCAUUUUUUCCGUUGACCACACUUUCCCUUCCUCUCUUCCCGCAAACCAAACGAGUGUUCAGAGGACCUAAAAGAGAAGGAGAAGAUCCAAGGACAAAAAGUUGUGAAAAGGAAUAUAACAAAGCUUGAAAUAACACUAGAGAUGUCCUCGACAACGUUUGCCGUCUCGGUACCGGACCCCAUAGCGGUAACUCACUAACAUAAUGUCGGAAUGGUACGAUACGGAGUUUUUUUAGCAUAUCGAGUAUUAAUACGCCACCCGUACGGCAUACCAUGGUCCUCAAUAUAAAUUCUUGUAAGGUUAUUAGACCAACCACAAUUAACCGGAACAGAUCUUGGUAGUUGUUGCUAUACUUAUGGUUACCGAUUUCAGCAAGCAAUAAAUAUCUUCGUAUCUGUAUAGGUACGACUGCUCGAAGCAUUAGCUAACUAACGUGCAGAAUUACAAUUUCAAAAAAUGAAAAUAAUUAAAUAAUGCCCUUCCAAAGAGAAAGGAAAGUAGGAAAAAUACCUGCUACAUUAAUGUUCUCAACGAUGUAAAGCACAUUGUCCUCAUUGAUCUCUCCCUUCUUCUCAGCAUCAAGGAUGUGAUCAAUUGCACACUUGAGCUCUGCGUUAUCUGCCGGUUUGGUGCUUGACAGCUUCCUGUUCCAUCAAAUAGAAAGCACUGAAUCAAUCGAUCGAUCAUAUAUUCAGAUUUCAGACAACAGAAGAUUGCCAUCAACGAACGGAAACCUAUUAGAAUAGAUGCAAUAGAAUAUUAUUAUAUUAAAAAAGAGAUAGGAAACCUUUUAGAAUAGCCACACGAGAACAUUAUUAAAUUAAAGGAGGACCAAUUCCAAAACAAAUAUCAGCAUAAGCGUAUGGAUUAGAAAAAAGAAGACCAAAAGGAACGGAAGAGGAAAAAAUAAAUAAAUAAAUAAACCCCUGUAUUUGAUAUCCACACCUUCUCCCUUUUUUAUUUUUUGUUUUUGGUAAUCCUAUUACACUUUCCUUGGCCUGCUCUUUUUAUAAAACAGUUUCUGGACCAAAUUGCAUAGCAUCCAAGCAUAACCGAAAAAGGGAGCUCUUAUAUGUUAAUCCACUAAAAUCCAGGCCUAAAAAAGGAUAAACAGAAAAGACACAAUCCUACCACAAAAGAAUAGAUUAAAAGGACUAAAACAGAACAAAUCCUAAUAGAAGCCAGACCAAAAGUAGAAACAAAUACACAAUCAGAAAAAGGGAAUUUAAAAACAGAAAAAACAUAAUCCAAACUUCAAAUCAAUCACUAUAGUAGAAGACCAGAAUUCUAUAUGUAAAAGAAAAUAUAAACACUAGAAAUAAUAAGGAAAAAAAUAGUAGUAUUAUAUAUACUCACUUCCUCUCCUCAAGGAAGUAGUCCUUGAAGAGCUGCAGCCUUCUCUCUUUGACCUCCUUGCAGAUCUUGAGGUAUCCCCUCAAGAAAGGUCUCAAGAUGGGGAUAAAAUCCCCAUAAUUGUACUCAAAACUCUGCGCCAACCUGCUCCUCUCCCCAUUCAGCGCCCUGAGCCGCAAGAACAGAGGAUCCUCCUCGCUCUCGAACCUCCGGUCGAACAUGAUCCGGUACAUGUUGUUAUACAUCAUCAGCUGCAGCCUCCUUCGGAGCACGAUCCCCUCCGUCGCCGCCUUCGGGUCUGCUUUCACAUCGGCGACAACCCUCGCCGCCUCGUCCUCCCACCCGGUGCGGUACUGCUGGACUACUUUGUUGGUGAAGAAGGGGACGGUCAUGAUGCGGCGCAUCUUGCGCCAGUGCUCGCCGUAGACGGUGAAGACCAUGUCCUGGCCUUUGCCGGUGAAGAUGUCGAAGACAACGUUGCGGGUGCGGGAGCCGAACUCGACGCCCUGCGUGUGGAGGACCUCGCGGGCAAGGGACGGGGAGGAGACGACGACGAGGUUGCGCUGGCCCAUGCGGAGGAGGAGGAUGUCGCCGAAGCGGCGGGCGAGGGCGGAGAGGUUGCGGUGGUUGAGGUCGUCGCCGACCUGCAGCCAGUUGCCGAAGACGGGGACGGGGAGCGGCCCCGGGGGGAGACGGAGGCGCUUUCCCCGGAGCUUCGAGACGGCGAUUGCGACGACGACGGACGCGAAGAGGCCCAGGAGGGCCUUCUCUAGCAGCGCCAGAUCCAUCGCCAAAGAAUGAGGAGAAGAGUGGAGUAGGUUUGGUUUGUGAGCGAAUUGGGGUGGGAGUUGGGGGAGGAUAUAAGGCGGGGUUGGGUUGACGGGAGCCGUUAGAUUUGACGGAUGUUGGGGUGGCGGGAGAGGGGGUAGGUUGGGACGGUAAGAUGUGCGCGCGUGCUGUGGAAGAACGGGUGCGCGCUCAAAUCAUUGGAGACAAGACUGCGGCAUAAGGUGGAUCGGCAUAUGGCUAGCCGAAUAUAGUACAGGGAAAAAAAGAAGAAAAGUUUGAGAACUGGCGUGUUGCGGCUGUUAUUUGGCAUGUGCAAUGAACGUGAUGCAAUCUAAGAAAAGCAUUUGAUGGAUGGUCAUGAUUUUUGCCAACCGUAUAAUUCGUAUGUGGAACUGCGGUGUAUGUAUUUGCUUGUGAGGUGAUUGCCAGAUCAGAAUCAAAAGUGGUUAAUAGAAAAAAGGGGAUGAAGAUACUUGUAGUUUAUGUCCUUGGCUUAGCUAGUCAUUUUACUUUUAUAUAUUUUAUUUUGAUUAUAGUUUGAUAAUUUAGCAUGGUUAUAUAAAAGAAAAAAAAUAUGUUACUAAGAGCAAGCCCCCUAUUGAUGUAUCUUACCAAAGUUUUUAACAGCAGAAUAGGAAAAGCAAGGGCUGAAAUGGAGGUUAGUGGUAAUUAAUCUUGGUUUUAGUAUAUGGGUGACAUCUUUGUAUCUUGUUUCAUGUACAUCACUUGGCAACUUGGGUCAUCUGAUUUUUUUUACAAGGUUUUUUCUAAUGUUUCAACUCAACCAAGAUUAAAUCAAAAUAAUGAACCACCCUCCACUGUCAUAAUUGAUAUGGUGUCAUUACUUGUAAUUAUUGAUUGCUUGCUAUAUUUAUUUUGUGAAUAAAAUGGUACCUUUGUAGUCAGCAAGAAAAGGUAACUUCCAUUCAAAUAAUUGUUAUAUUAAUGAGUUUCAGUACUUAAUACAGAAUUAGGAAAUUGAAAGUGUUGGAGAUAGAAGGCAAAACUCAAUAGAUAUGACUCAAUAUGAGAGGAUGACCAGACUCCAGAGUGACAUUAAUAGCACCUGCCCCCAGAGCUGGAUCAUUGACCUAGCAUAUGCAGUGGGCGUGUCCUGUGAGAGUACAAAUCUUGAGUGAAGGAACAAAACAAUUAGAGGAAUUAGAGUAGGUAUUGACAAUCCUAUUAUAAGGAAGUCAAUUAAAUUGGUGACUUUGGACAUCCCAAAAUCUAGAGAUUUUCUUAUCUAUAGGCUCCUCUAAUACCUUCCACUCCUAUUCUGUAUCAUCUUUUUAUUUCUUCCAACUAUGCAGGAGAUAUCAGAAGAACAAGACAUGAAGUUGCCUCAACUACCACUCAAAUAUAAAAGAUAUGGAUGGCAAUGGAUGACUGUUACCACCGUAUAAAAGGAGAGAAUAGCAUUUGAUAUGGGGGGCGUAUUUAUUAGGAUUUUCUGAUUAGAUUAGCAAUCUUUUAUAAUCUUAUGUCCCAUGCCAAAAUCAUCAUACAUUAAAAAAAAAGAAAAAAAGGAGGAAAAAAAAAGAAGUCGAGCUGCCGAUAAGUUUUAUAAAAUAGGGUUAUUCUUAUCUUGGUCACUUGUGCAAAAUUACAACAAAAGGAUGUGUUUUUAUUCAUACAAUAUGCUACAUAUUUAUAUUUUAUUUUUGAAAUCUCGCAUAGCUUCCGUAUAUUGUUGCAAUGGUAUUAGUGUGAUUGUUAUAAUAAGGAUGCAUUUAUACACAAUAUUUUAAAUUCAAAAGACAUUGUUCAAUAACAAGUAAUGCUAGUUUUUAGAAAUAUAUAUAACGGCUCGCUGCGAUAUUAAUUAUAAGAGUUGCCAUCCAAAUCUAUUGUAUAAUAACAAUGUUGACAUCCAUGUACUUGUUACUUAUAACUUGCUAAAAAUAUGGUCACGAGGAUCAUGUGAUCCAGGAGGAUCAUCUCCUUUACGAUCAGAUCAUCAUGACAUGAAUGUAUGGUACCAAUCCAUGUCAUGAUCAAGGUAGGCAAGGGUGGGAUUAUUUUCUGAAAAAAAAUAAUUAUUGUAUAACUCUUUCAAAUCUCCAUGCAGGAUAGAAAGUAGGCAAAUCUCAGUGGUAUCUCUCUCUAUUUUUUUAAUAAAAUUUGUAUUUUUAUAAUAAACAAUAAAAUAAUCACAACCAUUCACAAUGCUUUUCAUGCGUCAAAAUCUAGUGACUUGUUAACUAAAUUUAAUGGUUAUGAUAUCUAGCAUGGGAUUUAUAAAAAUCUAAUUAGAAAAUCAUCCAAUAAUGGAUGGUCAGGGCCCACCAAAAGUCUGAGAUGCAUGGAGAAUAGUAGCCGUCGGUGGAGGAGCACCGAGCAACCGACCCGUCCUAACUUUCAUGAUGGCGACGCUGGUGGUUCCGUGGUUGGCAAGUGGAAGAGAAACCGGAGCGAUUGGGAGACAAGUGGAGGCUAAAAUCGGUCCACGUUAAGGCUUUCUUUAGAUAUUAGAAGUGAAGAAACCCAUAUUUUUGUACCAAACUUAUCCCGUCACCGUGCUCACGGAGCCAGACAAUCCGAGCACUCGAUGGUCAACCUUGCACCCUCUUAGCUCACGCUUUUUGGGCUUGGAAGUAGGUGCAUCAAGCAACCUAAUGCUAUAGCAACAAACAAAUUAUAGUACUGUUGAGGCCGACAUUUGCUGGAUAUAUUUAGCUUAUUCUAUUUGAUUGGACAGAAAUGCUGGCCUCUUUGAGGGCAGGCGAUUACUCUCACGGAGGAUGGUGGACAGAGCCAUGCUUUAUGCUAGGAAGGUUGCUACAGCUGCCAUUAGUUUCUCUUCUGAGAUGGCCAGGGCCACUUGGGAUACUCUUUCAGCUGUCACAGCGCCUAGAUUCGCCCUAGUUUCUUGGGUACCCCCACCCCUUAGUCAUCUCAAAGUGAAUUUUGAUGGUAGUAUGUCGGUGGACGGGGUGUCAGGAGGAGCUGGCUUUGUCAUCAGAGACCAUCUAAGUAGGCUGAUAGCUGGUGGUGGGCGCCGUACGCCGGGACUUACCGCAGUUGGGGCAGAGUUGCGGGCAGCCUGAGAGGGUAUAGCCUAUGCGAGGCGGGUACUCCAUGCUGAGCAUAUAUGUCUUGAAGGAGAUUCCUCUGCGGUGAUCGAUUGGAUUCGAGGAGUGGACAGAUAUGGUGAUGGUCAUCCCCUCAUUCGUAAGAUUCAGCGAUUGGCUCAGGAGCUGAGCGAUUUCCAGGCUUCACAUGUUUUUCGAGAGGCGAACAGUGUGGCAGACUGGGUUGCUUCAUUUGUUGCCCGGCAUUCCGGAGAGAUCAUACGGACAUCUGUAGGAGAUAUUCCUCCCACCUUUUACUCUUUGCUUUUCUUUGAUAUGGCUGAAUGUACUCAAGUUAGAGCUAUAUGAAAUGCCGUUUCUAUCAAAAAAAAUAAAUUAUAGCUUUAGAAAAAAUAAUAAAUAUAUAUAUACACACACAUAUACAUAUGUAUGUCUAUAUAUUAUAUAAAUUUUUGUUAUAGUAAAUUUUUAUAGGACUUUUUGCAUAAAUACCUCCCAAUAGAUACCUUUCCAAAAAUAAUAUUUACAUGUAUACCUUACAAAAUACUUAUUUUACUAUUUUAUAUUUUUUUAUUUUUAUUUUUACAUUUAUACCCACACCAUCUAACAUAGUUAAAAAGUUAAUAGUUUCAAAUUAAAAUAACUAAAAUAUUUCUAAUGGGUAGAUGUUCAAUAAAAAACUUUUAUAAAGUGAUUGCGAUGGAGAAUAAAAAAGUAAUUUUAAAAUUAUAUUUUAUUUUUAAUUAAAAUAAAUAUGGUUUUUAUUAAUGGUGUUAGAAGAACUGUUAUAUUAGUGGCAUUUGUGUAAAAAUAGUAUUUUAUGAGAAUACAGUAAUAAAUAUAAAUUUAAGAGAGUAUUCAUGCAAGUUUGAGUUUUUAAAAAGAUAUUUUCACGCGCGCGCAAACGAGCACCGGCCGCAACAGCAAGGAACUUGCAAAAAAAAAAAUCAUUUUUAUAUUAUUUUUUAGAAAAGCUGGAGCUAUGUUGACCAUUCCUUUUGUGUAUUAAGAGAUUUUUUUUUUUUCUGAAGAGGUUAGCAACAAAUUAGAUAUACAUUGACAUCCUUUUUUAUUUUUAUUAUUUUUUCCGAUAGAGGUGAUUAUUUUAUUACUUUUCUGAAUGGGGCCAAGGUCAAGCCGCCUCCACCGCUCCUCAGCAUCCUUUGCGGCGACACCGGCAUCCCUACCGCCGUGCACGUCCUCCUCCUCCUCCUCCUUCGUGACGACACCCAUAUAUAUCACCGCCGUCAUGGACGGGACUUGAGAGCAGCCUUCCUCCUCCUCCGCUUCGCCUCAACCGACGCUGCAGGUGACCUCGCCGCCCAUGGCGGCGACAACCCAGCCCUCCUCGAGAUCCACAUCUCCACUAGGGGUGGAGUAGGACGUGGCCUGGCCAGCUCUCUACGAGAUCCGCAUCUCCAUCAAGGAUAGCGACGACCGAUCCCUCCCCAAAGGUGUUGCUGCAACGACAACGGUGGCGAACGAGGUGGCCCCAUGGGCCCGACGGUGGACGGUGGCCGACCAGCAUGGAGGAUCAUGUUGAUGGACGUCCCCAUGAGGAGGGCACUAAGGAUGAUCAUGGUGAGGCUUGAACGAGGCCUAACACCUUGACGGCGACAAUGAGGGAUAUGAUCUCCGCACCCAUGAAGGCGAUGGAGAGGUCCUCCGCCUCCAAUGCCCCAUUGCUAUCUUUGCCUUCACCCACUAAAGUAGCCUUCAUUAAAAGAAAAAAAAACUUGGAAUUUCUUGGUGCCACCUACCAUGGCCUCAAAUUUAAACUAUAUAUCACGUGUUCUGCAAGAGACGUAUGUUGUUUGAACGAAGGUAGAUGAGUUCCGUUUCUCCCUUGCCAACUUUAUUAGUAUCGGAUUGGUGCCUCUCUUUCUUACCAAAACAAAUACCAAACAAGAAAAGGGAAAGGGUCUCAAGUGGACCCUAAUUGGACUCCUUUCCUUCCGUCCCUCGCCAACUCACCUCUUCUUACCAAAAACUACCAAACAAUGAAAAGGAAAGGGUCAAGGGGACCCUAAUUGAAGUAUUAAUUUAGAGCAAAGCUGCAGAUUUCUCCCACAUCAUCAUUACGAGUGUUUGUUACCCUAAUCCAGCUUUUUAAUAGAAAUAUUAAGUUAUGUUUGACCAUAAAAAGUUGGACUCUGAAAUGAAAAUAAAAAUAAAUGACUUUUAUUCUAGCCGUUUGGUUGGAGAAGAUCCCAUUUUUAUUUCAAUUUCAGAGAAAAAUAGGAAUGCCCCAAUCCUUCAAAAUUUAAUAUCUACUUUUUUUCUAACAUUCAAAUUUCAUUUCGAUUACGGUCAUAAACCAAAUACAUCGGAAGAUAUGACCAUUUCGAUUUUAAUUUCAAUCUAUUCUGAUCCUACCUACGAACCAAACAUGCUCCUAAACUAUUACACGAUUAUUAUGGAUUCUGAAAACCAAUGGAAAGGAGAUAUUUGAGAAUCGCCGUCAAUACCUCGGCGUAGAUCCAGAAUAAUCUCUUGUACAUAGCUAAUUAAGAAUUCUUAGAUUAGAUGAUGUACUAUAAGUGCAUCUUUGAUGCAGCUAUUGAUUCUUCAGAUGGGCCACAAUUACCACGAGCAAACAUAUUAAUGACGAGGAAUGUAUUUUUGCUAUGCUACUAAUACUUGUACUUACUCUGCUAUUUUGCCCAAGCCUGAUCUUUUGGUGAAAUUUUUUGUGGAAUAUGAUUUAUCCCUAUAAGUUCGAUGAGUUAGAGGUAGAUAUACCAGGGGGUCCCUAUUUAAAAAUAUAUAGCAACCCCAUGGUUUCUCUAAUUAAAAAAAAAAAAUGGACCGUUUCAUCACCUAAUUUCACUGCACUCUUUUUUUUUUUUUGCUCCACCACUGUUUCUAUUUAUUAUAUUUUUUUUAGGAAGAAAAAGGUCCAAUAAAAGUGGAACAGAGGAUACACCUACCACGGCGACGGCGGCAGAGGCCAAGGCGGUUCACCAACUCCCACAUUCACGGGGGUCGCAGCUGGCCGAGUACCAUUCCACCGUGUGAUCCCAUUUCCAUGCGUCAUUAAUUCCGUCAUCUAGCGUCAUACUCGCUUAUGACUUUGCCGUGUUGAGGUUUCAAACAAAAUUCCCACUAGCGGUCCUUAUAUGAAAAAUUAUUUACUAAUCUCAACCAAAAUAAAGUCUGCCUCAUCUUAAUAAACACGUGUUAGAGAUCAUUACUUUAGGUUUUUUUUUUGAGAAACUAAUGUCUGGAUAUGUUAGGCUAAUAAUUUCUUUUUCAUGAAAUAUGGGUUUUUUCAUAAAAAAAUAAUUUUUAAUCUCUUUUUACAAGAUAGAAGAAAAACCACAGAAACCUUUUCAACGAGAGAAACAACAUCUCCAUCACAAAUCCACCUAAUAUUUUAGGACCCUCGACCCGCAACCUGAAGGCGUACACCAGGCAUUACUUUGAAAACAAAUCAAAACAUAAAAACCUAACAAGAGGAGAGAGAGGGACGCAAGAGUCCACAAACAUGAACUUUGAAAGGACUUUGGCGCCAUGAUCUUUUAUCUUCUUCCCUCAAGACAAAGACCCAACCCGGAACCAAAGUCCAAAGAACUCUGCCUCUGUCACCAAGGCCUAAGCAACUCUGUCACUCUUCCUAUGAGACAAAACUGUCCGGGUUGACCAACACAGAAGCCAUAUCAGCUCAAAAACCAUGAACAGAUCUGCAAUCAAAAGAGGACGUGAUCUAUGGUUUAAUUUCAUCAUGGCGAUCUCAAAUCUCGCACACAAUAUCCAGUUGCAGAUCAAAUUAUAUCUAGUUGGCAUCCCUCUGCGAGUAAGCGUCCAAGGGAUACGAGGAGAAGCUCGUGAGGAAGUCAUGGACUAGAAAACAGUAGAUUUGAUGUUCACCUCCACCCCACCCCAAAAAAAAACCAAUAAGAUGCGGGGAUAUCUAGCAAGAGCCUCAUAUGACCUCUAUUAUGAUACCAUAUCAAAAUUUCUACUUGUUCCAAAACCUUAAGUUGAUAGGAUAAGAUAGAUUUAUUUAUAUAUUUUAUAUUUUCUUAUGGUGGACAUCUAUCAAGUUUUGAAGCAUGCGAAGUUUUGAGAGACGAUGCUGUAAUCUUAAACCAAUGAUCAUCAAAGUAUCCUAAGAAAAAAAUGUUGGAUGUUAUUUUUCUGGGUGAAGUUGGGAAAGAAAUUCCAUGGAUUAGUCCACGGACUUAUCAAUCAAGCGUUUGAGGUAUUCAUGGAGUCCAUACAAUAAAAGAAGUGAGAUUUGCAUAAAUAAAAUGCAUUCAUCCUGAAACUUUAAAUUUUUCUAAUUAGAUCUCCAAACGUUUUUCUUCGUCGCAAUAUAAUUGUCACAUGACAAUCUAAUAUAUGCCUUCUAUUCCUGAAAUGCCUUUCUCUCUAAUUUAGAAUUGAGGGUAUGCUAAUCUUUUUUCUCACUUAGUUAAUAGUAUUAAGAUUUUGAUGGAUGGCUAGGUCACUUUGCGACAAAAAAAUAAGUUUUAGUAUCUAAUUGAAAAGAAUUUAAAGUUUUGGAGUGAAUAUAUUUUUUGCACAAAGUUGAAAGGAUGUUGCUCUAAUUUUUUCUAAAAUUUUUAAUUACAUUCAGAUCCUUUAUGUAUCGUGCAAUAAUCAUAAAAAUAUUUGAGUUGUAAUUGCCCAUUAUACCGAUAUGUAUAUUGCGCGACAAUUGAGAUUUAGUCCGAUGAUACAUGGGUAUUCAUGAUUGGACGUCAUAUUAUAUGGGAUCCAUUUUAUAACAAUCAUUAUACUAUAUAUAGUCAUAUAGAUAGCUAUGAUUGGCAAAUUGGGUCUCUCCACUCCAACUAUGAAUAUGAGAAGAUCUCAACUCAAACCAUUUUUGCGGCCAAUUUAGGAGAAAAAAUUCUAAAAAAAUAUCCGCGAGUCUCUCAGUUUUCAUUUAGUUAUUUUUUUGAUCUUUAAAAGUUCCAUCAUCCUAUCAUUUCAUCAAUUAAACGAAAUAGAUGAUGACUUUGAUGUUGGUUUUGGAAAAAUUAGAAAUCCCAUUAAAGCGGCCAAUGCUUUGGAAGAAACAUUGUUUUGAAUUUUCUAAAUAAACGGAUUAAGCAUUGCCACUCUUAUCCAUAAAGAAUUUAAAAUGGCUAUCAAUGUUUAUUUUUUAUUUUAAUAAUUAUCUAAGAGAUGGAUCAAUGAUUACUAAUAUGGCAAGCAUGACAAGAAGUUAUUAUUUGAGACAUAAUAUGACAUGAAAUUAGAACAAGCCAAUUCAAAAUUUUGAACAUCCCAAUGCUGGUUCACUUAGAUGUUUAAUCAUUCACACCUCCUCCUCAUUUUUCAUCGGCUUCCCAUGUUCCCUGCUCUUUGUUUUUACUCCAUUUCUAUGAAUUGUGAUUGAAAUUAAGCUAGAAGCAUUUGGUUUUCGAAAACUUUGUUUGUUUUGUUUUGUUGCUUUGGGGGCUUGCAUGUCCUCGCAGGUCCUUCACGCUGACAUCGUGCAAAGAAAACAAAAUCAACCUGAUCUCCCCUAACGCGAUAUCUCAGCCACCCGUCAAGCACUGCCCCACUGUAUGGUAACAUCCCAGCCGUCCAUUAGAAGCUCUCAUCAUCUCAUAGCACGCAGAGUGAUGUACCAAGAUUCUCGUCAAUAUAUCCAUUAAAAUAUGGCCGUUUGUGAUUUAUACGCUAAAGCCAAGCGAAAGCGAUGGCACACCGACAGCGAGAAUAACAUCCACCCGAUCAAACA
This 25459-nucleotide long non-coding RNA is filed under the name Phoenix dactylifera (date palm). RNAcentral's name for it is "long non-coding RNA (PDAC_LNC001534)". The record is from RNAcentral. Lineage: Eukaryota; Viridiplantae; Streptophyta; Magnoliopsida; Arecales; Arecaceae.